This 429-nucleotide ribosomal RNA is filed under the name Bacteroidota bacterium. Its description in RNAcentral is "Bacteroidetes bacterium partial 16S ribosomal RNA". It matches the Rfam family "Bacterial small subunit ribosomal RNA", at positions 355 to 776 of the family's 1533-position model. Lineage: Bacteria; Pseudomonadati; Bacteroidota. The record is from RNAcentral.
UAGGGAAUCUUCGGCAAUGGGGGGAACCCUGACCGAGCAACGCCGCGUGAGUGAAGAAGGUUUUCGGAUCGUAAAGCUCUGUUGUUAAGGAAGAACGAGUGUGAGAAUGGAAAGUUCAUACUGUGACGGUACUUAACCAGAAAGUGACGGCUAACUACGUGCCAGCAGCCGCGGUAAUACGUAGGUCCCGAGCGUUGUCCGGAUUUAUUGUGCGUAAAGCGAGCGCAGGCGGUUAGAUAAGUCUGAAGUUAAAGGCAGUGGCUCAACCAUUGUAGGCUUUGGAAACUGUUUAACUUGAGUGCAGAAGGGGAGAGUGGAAUUCCAUGUGUAGCGGUGAAAUGAGUAGAUAUAUGGAGGAACACCGGUGGCGAAAGCGGCUCUCUGGUCUGUAACUGACGCUGAGGCUCGAAAGCGUGGGGAGCGAACAGG